Pelobates cultripes (western spadefoot toad) is the source of this 273-nucleotide non-coding RNA. The record is from the annotation of a GenBank genome assembly. NCBI's taxonomy places the organism in Eukaryota, Metazoa, Chordata, Amphibia, Anura, Pelobatidae.
AGCUUACAGUCUAUAGGAGGUGGGGUAUAAAACACAUUAGGACAGGGAAAAGAAGUCAAAUUAGGUGGGAGUGGAGCAGAGCUGGAGGAGAGAGUAGAGUGCUGCCCUUUAGGAGAGAGACCUCUCUGCUGCCUUUGACACUGUUGAACAUGUUCUCCUUCUCCAAACUCUUCAAUCACUCGGUCUCUGUGACACUGUCAUCUCGUGGUUUUCCUCUUAUGUCACCCAAUGUUCAUUGAGUGUUUCCUUUUCCUAUGACAACUCCUCCCCUCG